This 84-nucleotide transfer RNA is filed under the name Roseicyclus elongatus DSM 19469. RNAcentral's name for it is "Roseibacterium elongatum DSM 19469 tRNA". It matches the Rfam family "tRNA". Rfam says of the family: Transfer RNA (tRNA) molecules are approximately 80 nucleotides in length. Their secondary structure includes four short double-helical elements and three loops (D, anti-codon, and T loops). Further hydrogen bonds mediate the characteristic L-shaped molecular structure. tRNAs have two regions of fundamental functional importance: the anti-codon, which is responsible for specific mRNA codon recognition, and the 3' end, to which the tRNAs corresponding amino acid is attached (by aminoacyl-tRNA synthetases). tRNAs cope with the degeneracy of the genetic code in two manners: having more than one tRNA (with a specific anti-codon) for a particular amino acid; and 'wobble' base-pairing, i.e. permitting non-standard base-pairing at the 3rd anti-codon position. Lineage: Bacteria; Pseudomonadati; Pseudomonadota; Alphaproteobacteria; Rhodobacterales; Roseobacteraceae. The record is from Rfam by way of RNAcentral.
GCGGGCGUGAUGGAAUUGGUAGACAUAUCGGACUUAAAAUCCGUGGGCCAUCGUGCCGUGGGGGUUCGAGUCCCCCCGCCCGCA